This 621-nucleotide ribosomal RNA is filed under the name Enterococcus faecalis. RNAcentral's name for it is "bacterial SSU rRNA". It matches the Rfam family "Bacterial small subunit ribosomal RNA", at positions 61 to 653 of the family's 1533-position model. Lineage: Bacteria; Bacillati; Bacillota; Bacilli; Lactobacillales; Enterococcaceae. The record is from RNAcentral.
GUCGAACGCUUCUUUCCUCCCGAGUGCUUGCACUCAAUUGGAAAGAGGAGUGGCGGACGGGUGAGUAACACGUGGGUAACCUACCCAUCAGAGGGGGAUAACACUUGGAAACAGGUGCUAAUACCGCAUAACAGUUUAUGCCGCAUGGCAUAAGAGUGAAAGGCGCUUUCGGGUGUCGCUGAUGGAUGGACCCGCGGUGCAUUAGCUAGUUGGUGAGGUAACGGCUCACCAAGGCCACGAUGCAUAGCCGACCUGAGAGGGUGAUCGGCCACACUGGGACUGAGACACGGCCCAGACUCCUACGGGAGGCAGCAGUAGGGAAUCUUCGGCAAUGGACGAAAGUCUGACCGAGCAACGCCGCGUGAGUGAAGAAGGUUUUCGGAUCGUAAAACUCUGUUGUUAGAGAAGAACAAGGACGUUAGUAACUGAACGUCCCCUGACGGUAUCUAACCAGAAAGCCACGGCUAACUACGUGCCAGCAGCCGCGGUAAUACGUAGGUGGCAAGCGUUGUCCGGAUUUAUUGGGCGUAAAGCGAGCGCAGGCGGUUUCUUAAGUCUGAUGUGAAAGCCCCCGGCUCAACCGGGGAGGGUCAUUGGAAACUGGGAGACUUGAGUGCAGAA